UGUUUCGGCUAGGGGGCCAUCCCGGCUUACCAACCCGAUGCAAACUGCGAAUACCGGAGAAUGUUAUCACGGGAGACACACGGCGGGUGCUAACGUCCGUCGUGAAGAGGGAAACAACCCAGACCGCCAGCUAAGGUCCCAAAGUCAUGGUUAAGUGGGAAACGAUGUGGGAAGGCCCAGACAGCCAGGAUGUUGGCUUAGAAGCAGCCAUCAUUUAAAGAAAGCGUAAUAGCUCACUGGUCGAGUCGGCCUGCGCGGAAGAUGUAACGGGGCUAAACCAUGCACCGAAGCUGCGGCAGCGACACUUUAGUGUUGUUGGGUAGGGGAGCGUUCUGUAAGCCGUUGAAGGUGUCCUGUGAGGGGUGCUGGAGGUAUCAGAAGUGCGAAUGCUGACAUAAGUAACGAUAAAGCGGGUGAAAAGCCCGCUCGCCGGAAGACCAAGGGUUCCUGUCCAACGUUAAUCGGGGCAGGGUGAGUCGACCCCUAAGGCGAGGCCGAAAGGCGUAGUCGAUGGGAAACGGGUUAAUAUUCCCGUACUUGGUGUUACUGCGAAGGGGGGACGGAGAAGGCUAUGUUGGCCGGGCGACGGUUGUCCCGGUUUAAGCGUGUAGGUGUGUGUUCCAGGUAAAUCCGGUUCACUUUAACACUGAGGCGUGAUGACGAGGCACUACGGUGCUGAAGCAACAAAUGCCCUGCUUCCAGGAAAAGCCUCUAAGCAUCAGGUAACAUCAAAUCGUACCCCAAACCGACACAGGUGGUCAGGUAGAGAAUACCAAGGCGCUUGAGAGAACUCGGGUGAAGGAACUAGGCAAAAUGGUGCCGUAACUUCGGGAGAAGGCACGCUGACACGUAGGUGAAGUGAUUUACUCACGGAGCUGAAGUCAGUCGAAGAUACCAGCUGGCUGCAACUGUUUAUUAAAAACACAGCACUGUGCAAACACGAAAGUGGACGUAUACGGUGUGACGCCUGCCCGGUGCCGGAAGGUUAAUUGAUGGGGUCAGCGCAAGCGAAGCUCCUGAUCGAAGCCCCGGUAAACGGCGGCCGUAACUAUAACGGUCCUAAGGUAGCGAAAUUCCUUGUCGGGUAAGUUCCGACCUGCACGAAUGGCGUAAUGAUGGCCAGGCUGUCUCCACCCGAGACUCAGUGAAAUUGAACUCGCUGUGAAGAUGCAGUGUACCCGCGGCAAGACGGAAAGACCCCGUGAACCUUUACUAUAGCUUGACACUGAACAUUGAGCCUUGAUGUGUAGGAUAGGUGGGAGGCUUUGAAGCGUGGACGCCAGUCUGCGUGGAGCCGACCUUGAAAUACCACCCUUUAAUGUUUGAUGUUCUAACGUGGACCCGUAAUCCGGGUUGCGGACAGUGUCUGGUGGGUAGUUUGACUGGGGCGGUCUCCUCCUAAAGAGUAACGGAGGAGCACGAAGGUUGGCUAAUCCUGGUCGGACAUCAGGAGGUUAGUGCAAUGGCAUAAGCCAGCUUGACUGCGAGCGUGACGGCGCGAGCAGGUGCGAAAGCAGGUCAUAGUGAUCCGGUGGUUCUGAAUGGAAGGGCCAUCGCUCAACGGAUAAAAGGUACUCCGGGGAUAACAGGCUGAUACCGCCCAAGAGUUCAUAUCGACGGCGGUGUUUGGCACCUCGAUGUCGGCUCAUCACAUCCUGGGGCUGAAGUAGGUCCCAAGGGUAUGGCUGUUCGCCAUUUAAAGUGGUACGCGAGCUGGGUUUAGAACGUCGUGAGACAGUUCGGUCCCUAUCUGCCGUGGGCGCUGGAAGACUGAGGGGGGCUGCUCCUAGUACGAGAGGACCGGAGUGGACGCAUCACUGGUGUUCGGGUUGUCAUGCCAAUGGCACUGCCCGGUAGCUAAAUGCGGAAAAGAUAAGUGCUGAAAGCAUCUAAGCACGAAACUUGCCCC
Molecule: ribosomal RNA, 1909 nt
Filed under: Salmonella enterica subsp. diarizonae
Lineage: Bacteria; Pseudomonadati; Pseudomonadota; Gammaproteobacteria; Enterobacterales; Enterobacteriaceae
Also listed under: 1 other name
Description: partial 23S ribosomal RNA
Rfam family: Bacterial large subunit ribosomal RNA
Source: RNAcentral